CCUACGGGAGGCAGCAGUGGGGAAUAUUGGACAAUGGGGGGAACCCUGAUCCAGCCAUGCCGCGUGUGUGAAGAAGGCCCUCGGGUUGUAAAGCACUUUCAGUGAGGAAGAACGCCUGGUGGUUAAUACCCAUCAGGAAAGACAUCACUCACAGAAGAAGCACCGGCUAACUCCGUGCCAGCAGCCGCGGUAAUACGGCGGGUGCGAGCGUUAAUCGGAAUUACUGGGCGUAAAGCGCGCGUAGGUGGCUUGAUAAGCCGGUUGUGAAAGCCCCGGGCUCAACCUGGGAACGGCAUCCGGAACUGUCAAGCUAGAGUGCAGGAGAGGAAGGUAGAAUUCCCGGUGUAGCGGUGAAAUGCGUAGAGAUCGGGAGGAAUACCAGUGGCGAAGGCGGCCUUCUGGACUGACACUGACACUGAGGUGCGAAAGCGUGGGUAGCAAACAGGAUUAGAUACCCCUGUAGUC
RNAcentral lists this ribosomal RNA (465 nucleotides) under Vreelandella stevensii. Its description in RNAcentral is "partial 16S ribosomal RNA". It matches the Rfam family "Bacterial small subunit ribosomal RNA", at positions 338 to 795 of the family's 1533-position model. Lineage: Bacteria; Pseudomonadati; Pseudomonadota; Gammaproteobacteria; Oceanospirillales; Halomonadaceae. The record is from RNAcentral.